Molecule: ribosomal RNA, 508 nt
Filed under: uncultured bacterium
Lineage: Bacteria
Description: bacterial SSU rRNA
Rfam family: Bacterial small subunit ribosomal RNA
Source: RNAcentral
AGUGAACGCUGGCGGUAGGCCUAACACAUGCAAGUCGAACGGCAGCACAGGAGAGCUUGCUCUCUGGGUGGCGAGUGGCGGACGGGUGAGGAAUACAUCGGAAUCUACCUUUUCGUGGGGGAUAACGUAGGGAAACUUACGCUAAUACCGCAUACGACCUACGGGUGAAAGUGGGGGACCGCAAGGCCUCACGCGAUUAGAUGAGCCGAUGUCCGAUUAGCUAGUUGGCGGGGUAAUGGCCCACCAAGGCGACGAUCGGUAGCUGGUCUGAGAGGAUGAUCAGCCACACUGGAACUGAGACACGGUCCAGACUCCUACGGGAGGCAGCAGUGGGGAAUAUUGGACAAUGGGCGCAAGCCUGAUCCAGCCAUACCGCGUGGGUGAAGAAGGCCUUCGGGUUGUAAAGCCCGUUUUGUUGGGAAAGAAAUCCUGUCGGUUAAUAACCGGUGGGGAGUGACGGUACCCAAAGAAUAAGCACCGGCUAACUUCGUGCCAGCAGCCGCGGUAA